Molecule: ribosomal RNA, 141 nt
Filed under: uncultured bacterium
Lineage: Bacteria
Description: partial 16S ribosomal RNA
Rfam family: Bacterial small subunit ribosomal RNA
Source: RNAcentral
UGGGGAAUAUUGCACAAUGGGGGGAAACCCUGAUGCAGCGACGCCGCGUGAGCGAAGAAGUAUUUCGGUAUGUAAAGCUCUAUCAGCAGGGAAGAAAAAAAUGACGGUACCUGAGUAAGAAGCACCGGCUAAAUACGUGCC